AGUGAACGCUGGCGGUAGGCCUAACACAUGCAAGUCGAACGGCAGCACAGUAAGAGCUUGCUCUUACGGGUGGCGAGUGGCGGACGGGUGAGGAAUACAUCGGAAUCUACUUUUUCGUGGGGGAUAACGUAGGGAAACUUACGCUAAUACCGCAUACGACCUACGGGUGAAAGCAGGGGAUCUUCGGACCUUGCGCGAUUGAAUGAGCCGAUGUCGGAUUAGCUAGUUGGCGGGGUAAAGGCCCACCAAGGCGACGAUCCGUAGCUGGUCUGAGAGGAUGAUCAGCCACACUGGAACUGAGACACGGUCCAGGCUCCUACGGGAGGCAGCAGUGGGGAAUAUUGGACAAUGGGCGCAAGCCUGAUCCAGCCAUACCGCGUGGGUGAAGAAGGCCCUCGGGUUGUAAAGCCCUUUUGUUGGGAAAGAAAAGCAGCAGGUUAAUACCCCGCUGUUCUGACGGUACCCAAAGAAUAAGCACCGGCUAACUUCGUG
RNAcentral lists this ribosomal RNA (492 nucleotides) under uncultured bacterium. RNAcentral describes it as "partial 16S ribosomal RNA". It matches the Rfam family "Bacterial small subunit ribosomal RNA", at positions 29 to 507 of the family's 1533-position model. The record is from RNAcentral.